This 433-nucleotide ribosomal RNA is filed under the name uncultured soil bacterium. RNAcentral describes it as "bacterial SSU rRNA". It matches the Rfam family "Bacterial small subunit ribosomal RNA", at positions 26 to 474 of the family's 1533-position model. The record is from RNAcentral.
AGAUUGAACGCUGGCGGCAUGCCUAACACAUGCAAGUCGAACGGGAGUAGCAAUACUCUAGUGGCGGACGGGUGAGGAAUACGUAGGAAUUUGCCCUUAAGUGGGGGAUAACCCGGGGAAACCCGGAUUAAUACCGCAUGACCUCGAAAGAGCAAAGUGGGGGAUCGCAAGACCUCACGCUUUUGGAGAAGCCUACGUCGGAUUAGCUAGUUGGUGAGGUAAUGGCUCACCAAGGCGACGAUCCGUAACUGGUCUGAGAGGAUGAUCAGUCACACCGGAACUGAGACACGGUCCGGACUCCUACGGGAGGCAGCAGUGGGGAAUAUGGACAAUGGGCGCAAGCCUGAUCCAGCAAUGGCCGCGUGUGUGAAGAAGGCCGUUCGGUUGUAAAGCUACUUUAAGGUUAGGGUAAAGAAAAAAGUCGACUCUAACA